CGGCGAUUUCCGAAUGGGGAAACCCAGUGUGAUUCGUCACACUAUCAUUAACUGAAUCCAUAGGUUAAUGAGGCGAACCGGGGGAACUGAAACAUCUAAGUACCCCGAGGAAAAGAAAUCAACCGAGAUUCCCCCAGUAGCGGCGAGCGAACGGGGAGCAGCCCAGAGCCUGAAUCAGUGUGUGUGUUAGUGGAAGCGUCUGGAAAGGCGCGCGAUACAGGGUGACAGCCCCGUACACAAAAAUGCACAUACUGUGAGCUCGAUGAGUAGGGCGGGACACGUGGUAUCCUGUCUGAAUAUGGGGGGACCAUCCUCCAAGGCUAAAUACUCCUGACUGACCGAUAGUGAACCAGUACCGUGAGGGAAAGGCGAA
Molecule: ribosomal RNA, 373 nt
Filed under: Escherichia coli
Lineage: Bacteria; Pseudomonadati; Pseudomonadota; Gammaproteobacteria; Enterobacterales; Enterobacteriaceae
Description: partial 23S ribosomal RNA
Rfam family: Bacterial large subunit ribosomal RNA
Source: RNAcentral